Molecule: ribosomal RNA, 408 nt
Filed under: uncultured cyanobacterium
Lineage: Bacteria; Bacillati; Cyanobacteriota
Description: bacterial SSU rRNA
Rfam family: Bacterial small subunit ribosomal RNA
Source: RNAcentral
UCCGCAAUGGGGGCAACCCUGACGGAGCAACGCCGCGUGCGGGAGGAAGGUCUGUGGAUUGUAAACCGCUUUUCUCUGGGAAGAAGAUCUGACGGUACCAGAGGAAUCAGCAUCGGCUAACUCCGUGCCAGCAGCCGCGGUAAGACGGAGGAUGCAAGCGUUAUCCGGAAUUAUUGGGCGUAAAGCGUCCGUAGGUGGUUGAAUAAGUCUGCUGUCAAAGACUGUGGCUUAACUAUGGGAAGGCAGUGGAAACUGAUCGACUAGAGUGUGUAAGGGGUAGAGGGAAUUCCCAGUGUAGCGGUGAAAUGCGUAGAUAUCGGGAAGAACACCAGUGGCGAAGGCGCUCUACUGGGCCAACACUGACACUGAUGGACGAAAGCUAGGGGAGCGAAAGGGAUUAGAUACCCC